AUUAAUUGCGAUAUUUUAAAAAUGGGAAAACUUCAAAUGCCACUGCUGUGGUUUUACACUUUUUUACUUUCGUAUCCUGUGAUUUAAAGUGUAUCAAUUUAGUGCCAUAUGAUUUCAUUUUUAUCUUUUUAUUAUCGAUUCCACUAAUUUUUUUUAUUAAAUCAGUGACAAAGUUAAAACUAAAGGGUACUGAAGUAAAUAUUCGAUAAACCUAGGUGGGGUAUCUGAUGUUUUUGUAUAUAAUUUAACGAAAUAUUAACAGAGAAGCUGACGAAAAGAUAAAAAUAAAAUCAUAUAUAGGACAUUAACUUGAUACACCUUAAACCGCACGGUACUAAAGUGAGAAAGUGCGAAACCACAAUAACGGUAUUUGAAGUCUACCCUUUAAAAAUUUUUAAAUUUGAUCAAAACUAAAAUAAUAAAAAUAAUUAUUUAUGAUUGAAAAUCAUUUCAAACUUUCUGUUUAUGGUGAAACAAAAAUACGCAUCGGGAUCGACCGUCCCUAGAGCAAGUGGCAAAGAAUUUGAUGGUUGGUAUCCGAGACCCAAGUUCGAAUCCUACUUGAUUCACUUUUUCAGCUAAAUUUAUUUCUAAAUGAAAUAAACGAAACGGGUAGCGUGCAAUCUAUCUCAAAAAAAAAAAAAAAAAAAAAAAAAAAA
RNAcentral lists this long non-coding RNA (659 nucleotides) under Ananas comosus (pineapple). Its description in RNAcentral is "long non-coding RNA (ACOM_LNC033807)". Lineage: Eukaryota; Viridiplantae; Streptophyta; Magnoliopsida; Poales; Bromeliaceae. The record is from RNAcentral.